This 257-nucleotide ribosomal RNA is filed under the name uncultured bacterium. RNAcentral describes it as "partial 16S ribosomal RNA". It matches the Rfam family "Bacterial small subunit ribosomal RNA", at positions 524 to 776 of the family's 1533-position model. The record is from RNAcentral.
UACGUAGGGUGCAAGCGUUGUCCGGAAUUAUUGGGCGUAAAGAGCUCGUAGGCGGUCUGUCGCGUCUGCUGUGAAAACUCAGGGCUUAACCCUGAGCUUGCAGUGGGUACGGGCAGACUAGAGUGCGGUAGGGGAGACUGGAAUUCCUGGUGUAGCGGUGAAAUGCGCAGAUAUCAGGAGGAACACCGGUGGCGAAGGCGGGGUCUCUGGGCCGUAACUGACGCUGGAGGAGCGGAAAAGCAUGGGGAGCGAACAGG